This is a long non-coding RNA of Helianthus annuus (common sunflower), 623 nucleotides long. RefSeq lists it as uncharacterized. The transcript is spliced from 4 exons. Lineage: Eukaryota; Viridiplantae; Streptophyta; Magnoliopsida; Asterales; Asteraceae. The record is from RefSeq and is a predicted model, not a curated record.
UGAUUUUCAAUUCCCCCCAAAAAUCCAAAUCCCUGUUUGUCGGUUCACCCAUGUUCCCCAUUCCCCUUUUUCACCAUAAUAUAUUCAUAUUCCCCUUGAGUUCAAUUAGAAGUCCCAUUCCUUACAGAGAAGGAAAAUUAGCAAAGAGCUCGAAGAAGUUAAUAAUGGAGGUGGAAUUGAGCGGUAUCACAUUUAAUGCUUUGCAAUUCAGAGACACUGGUUGAACUUGGAUUUUUGCUAGAGGUCCAUUACAGAGAACAAUUCAUGUUACAUGUCAAAUUGUAAACUUGAGGUUUGCCCCCAUUAAACUAUAUAUCUGUUUGAAGAUUAGAGUUUGAACUCUUAUUGUCCUUCAAUGUUCAGAAACAAACACACUAGUUUCUUUAUUAUCUGCUUCAAGAUUGAACAGAAAAGCAACAAAAUUAAAAAAAGAUACAGUAGAGAAGUGUGCUAUGACGGAGAAAAAUGAAGAAAAUACAAGUUAUACAUUGGAACGAACAAGAUUUCAAUUAUCGUCACAAAACCCACCAGAAUUUUUUUCCUCAUGAUAUGGGUUUAAUGUAUUGCUUUUGGAUAAUUUGGAUCUUUAUAAUAAUACAUAUGGAUAUUCAUAUUUGAUCGUA